This 512-nucleotide ribosomal RNA is filed under the name Fusarium sp. SIN52. RNAcentral's name for it is "eukaryotic LSU rRNA". The stretch from base 156 to 309 matches the Rfam family "5.8S ribosomal RNA". Lineage: Eukaryota; Fungi; Ascomycota; Sordariomycetes; Hypocreales; Nectriaceae. RNAcentral also lists the same sequence under 1 other name. The record is from RNAcentral.
CAUUACCGAGUUAUACAACUCAUCAACCCUGUGAACAUACCUAAAACGUUGCUUCGGCGGGAACAGACGGCCCUGUAACAACGGGCCGCCCCCGCCAGAGGACCCCUAACUCUGUUUUUAUAAUGUUUUUCUGAGUAAACAAGCAAAUAAAUUAAAACUUUCAACAACGGAUCUCUUGGCUCUGGCAUCGAUGAAGAACGCAGCGAAAUGCGAUAAGUAAUGUGAAUUGCAGAAUUCAGUGAAUCAUCGAAUCUUUGAACGCACAUUGCGCCCGCCAGUAUUCUGGCGGGCAUGCCUGUUCGAGCGUCAUUACAACCCUCAGGCCCCCGGGCCUGGCGUUGGGGAUCGGCGGAAGCCCCCUGUGGGCACACGCCGUCCCUCAAAUACAGUGGCGGUCCCGCCGCAGCUUCCAUUGCGUAGUAGCUAACACCUCGCAACUGGAGAGCGGCGCGGCCAUGCCGUAAAACACCCAACUUCUGAAUGUUGACCUCGAAUCAGGUAGGAAUACCCGC